UUCAUCUUUUGCUGGAGUCCCACUGCUGGCCCUGGGGGCUUUGGAGCCCUUUUCUUCCUUUGAUUCAUUCCUUCCUUUCCUUCCAUUCCUUCGUUGCUUUGCUUCCUUCCUUUCCUUCCUUUCCUUCCUUUCCUUCCUUUCCUUCCUUCCUUUUCUUCCUUUCCUUCCUUCCUUUCCUUCAAUUCCUUCCUCCCUUCCAUUCACUCCUUUUUUUCCUCCCAUUUAUUCCUUUCUUUCCUCCAUUCCCCCCCUUUCCCUCCUUCCAUUCAUUCCUUCUUUCCGUUCCUUUCAUUCACUCCCUUUCCCCCUUUCCUCCCUUCCAUUCAUUCCCUUCCUGCCCCAUUUCCAUCCCCUUUCAGUUGACUUUCAGUUCGUUUUCCCAUUCCUUCCCCCCUCUUCCUUCCUUCAUUUCCAUUCAUUUCAGUCCUUCGUUUCUCCUUCAUCCCUUCCUCCCUUCCUUUCUCCCCUUCCCUUCCUUCCUUUCUUCUGCCUUCAUUUUCCCUCAUUCCAUUCAUUCCUUCCUUCCUUCCUUUCAUUCAUUUCCUCAUUCAUUCAUUCAUUCAAUUCCCUCAGUUCAUUCAUUCCUUCCAUUCAUUCAUUCCUUCCUUCCAUUCAUUCCUUCCAUUCAUUCAUUCCUUCCUUCAUUCCUUCAUUCCUUGCUCCCAUCCCAUUCAUUCACCCCAUUUUAUUCCUCCAUCCCCGCUUCGUUCCUUUGAGCUCCUUUCCCCUUUUUAAUUCUUUUAUCCCUAUGGCUCCCCUUUAAUUUGCUUUCGUUAAUCCCAGCCGUUCCCGUUUCUUCCAUCAACUCCACUCGUUUCAUUUUUAUUUCCUUUCCUCUCUAUUUUAAUCCAAUUCUCCCACUGCGUUCCGUUCAUCCCUUUCCUUCCCCCCAUUAUUUUCCCCCCAUAUUUUAUUUUAUUUCCUCCCUUUUCCGCUUUAUUUUAUUUCCGGAGGGGGGUUGAAGGGGGGGGGUUUCCCCUCCGCCCCCCUCCCCCAAUUCCACCCCCCACAAACGGGG
RNAcentral lists this long non-coding RNA (1018 nucleotides) under Phasianus colchicus (ring-necked pheasant). RNAcentral's name for it is "lncRNA (ENSPCLG00000013858.1)". The record is from RNAcentral. Lineage: Eukaryota; Metazoa; Chordata; Aves; Galliformes; Phasianidae.